UACAGAGGGUGCAAGCGUUAAUCGGAUUUACUGGGCGUAAAGCGUGAGUAGGUGGCUCGCUAAGUCGGUUGUGAAAGCCCUGGGCUCAACCUGGGAAUUGCAGUCGAUACUGGCAAGCUCGAGUUCGGUAGAGGGUGACGGAAUUCCCGGUGUAGCGGUGAAAUGCGUAGAUAUCGGGAGGAACAUCGAUGGCGAAGGCAAUCACCUGGGCCUGAACUGACACUGAGACACGAAAGCGUGGGUAGCAAACAGGAUUAGAAACCCCCGUAGUCC
Molecule: ribosomal RNA, 273 nt
Filed under: uncultured bacterium
Lineage: Bacteria
Description: partial 16S ribosomal RNA
Rfam family: Bacterial small subunit ribosomal RNA
Source: RNAcentral